UCCUGUAACUCUUACUGUGCCCUGUUGUGUGAAUUCCCAGCAUCAGUGUUGCAGUGUCCUAGCGUAACAUAAUUAUCAAAGUGUUUAAUCUCUCCAGGGGUUUUGGUGGUGUGCUUGCAUGGGGAAGUAGUACUGUGUAUGUGAUAGGAGUGAAAAUUUAAAAUCUCCACCUGUUGGCACUUUAGCAGAUGGGGGAGGUUUUGUAACUGAGACAAUCACGUAAGAAAGUGAACUUAGAGCUGACUCAUGUCUGUGUGUGACUGUACUGUCCGAAUAAGAGCUGGAAUGUUUGCACAAAGACUCUGACACUCUACUGCCAGAUCAAGGACUUUGGCAGGACCCAGCUGAAAUCAGUGUCCACCAAAAGUUGAAGAUGGUUUAGCUAUCUUCACCGGGGGCAUCUGCUGUACGCAUUAUGUUGAAAAUAAGCGACCCAAAGCUUCAGAUUGUAAUUGUUCUCCACACCCCGUCAGCAUGCACAUUGGGAAAAAUUUGUUUUAACAAAUGAACUUUGAUGCAGCAAGAAAGAGACCAAAAUAAAGGAAAAUAAAGGCAGGCAGAAGGUGAGCUAAUCAGAAAGAG
Molecule: long non-coding RNA, 582 nt
Organism: Etheostoma spectabile (orangethroat darter)
Lineage: Eukaryota; Metazoa; Chordata; Actinopteri; Perciformes; Percidae
Exons: 2
Source: RefSeq, a predicted model, not a curated record